AUGUCUUCCUCCGGCUCCUCCCACUCAAACCUCAACCAACAGGUCACGGAGAAGCUCACCCGCACGAACUAUGUUCUGUGGCGCGCCCAGAUCGUGCCGCAGCUUUGGGGUGCUGGUGUCUUUGGCUAUGCCGACGGCACCACACCGGAGCCGGCUCGACUCCUCGUCACCAAGGACAAAGACAGGAAGGAGUCCUCAACGCCCAACCCUCUACACCCAAUCUGGGUCAAGGAGGACCAGCAGGUACUUGGUUAUCUGCUCAACAAUCUGUCCAAAGAGGUUCUUGUGCAGGUGACCGUGAUC
This 303-nucleotide ribosomal RNA is filed under the name Triticum aestivum (bread wheat). Its description in RNAcentral is "partial small subunit ribosomal RNA". Lineage: Eukaryota; Viridiplantae; Streptophyta; Magnoliopsida; Poales; Poaceae. The record is from RNAcentral.